UGACUAUCCAACACAACGCUGGAACUCUUUCAAGUCAAGAAGGCCUACAGCAUCAUCCAUUGAACUCCACAAUGGAACAGAGUACGCUACCUCUUUUCCUAUUGCUUGAAGAUUACAAUACUGUCAUUUAUUCUGAGAGUGCUAUAAAUCAGAAGGAUCAGGACAAGGCGGAUGGAUGUAUUACCACAUGCUACCUGACUAUCUAAACACUAUCCACAGACAGCUAAGUAUUAUAGCAACUACACCAUUUAUCAGCUCCAUUUUUUUACAUUUUUGACAUUAUUGUCAAAUACAGAACAUCUAAAAUAAACAUAUUACAUCAAUAGAAUGUCAAAGUAGAAAUGUCAUCUUAUGUAAGACAUUUUAAGGGUGGUCACAGAUCAAGGCUAGUCCUGGACUGAAUGAAGAUUCUUUGUUGAGUUUGCUUUUCAGUCUAGGACUAGGCUUAAUCUGUGUCUGGAAAACUGUCCCUCAAUGUUGUAUUUGAAAUAAAUAAAGGAAGAAAUGCUAGAUGUCAAAACAGCUCUUAGAAAUAGAAAGCUUUACAUAAUUGAAGCACCA
RNAcentral lists this long non-coding RNA (561 nucleotides) under Salmo salar (Atlantic salmon). RNAcentral describes it as "lncRNA (ENSSSAG00000116959.1, ENSSSAG00020064930.1)". Lineage: Eukaryota; Metazoa; Chordata; Actinopteri; Salmoniformes; Salmonidae. The record is from RNAcentral.